Molecule: long non-coding RNA, 3115 nt
Organism: Pseudopipra pipra
Lineage: Eukaryota; Metazoa; Chordata; Aves; Passeriformes; Pipridae
Exons: 2
Source: RefSeq, a predicted model, not a curated record
CUUGUCAGCAGCAGUGGGAUAAUGGCUUUGGGGAGAUGGCAGCAGGCACAUGAACAUCCCGCUCUUGCAGCUGCUGAGGAGGUUGAUCUCCUGGGCUUGGCUGGAGGAGGUGGCACCUGUGUUGAGUAAUUGCUGAAAUCCAAUCGAUCUGGGAUGACCCCAAAUGACAGUUUAGUUUUCAGCUUGCUCGAGCUGUAUCUCAGCAGCUUUUGGGUAUCAUUUUUGGCCCCCAGACAGGACACCUCUGCCUGAUCUCCCGCGGAUCCGAGGGAUCUCUGGAUCUUCACGCCAGCACCAGGACUUUGCUGCAGAAGAGCACAGAUCCCCAGCCCAGUCUGGGACACAGAACGUGUGAAAGGGCAGAAAGAUUGUGGUGUGAAUGCAGCGCCCUCAGAGCCCUUGGUGUGAGCCCGGAAAGGAAAAUCAAGCUGAGGGACAAGAUCAGUCUAAUUUGGGGACAUUGUUGGAGGUUGGAGUUGCAGUUCUGGAAGAAAUCCCUGAGGAAAUGGUGCCCCGGGGAGAGGAAGAGGAUGAGAGCGUGGGCAGCCUGCUUCAAACAUCCCCCCAGGAGACUUGGGAUCAGUCCCUGUGCAUCCUGUAAGAAAGAUGGACACUGGAAAUGGGAUUGUCCACAACUGAAACUUCAGAACCCUCCGAACCCUCUCGUGGCAUCACUGAAGACGACUGAGGGGGCACCAGAGGAUUCUUCCCCAUCAGAACAUCUGGUUCCAGCCAAGCUAAGCACAAUUGUUUGUGGCUGUGGGAACUUGUUCCUCUGUGUUAAAUCCAGGGAAAUGAAACUCAAGGGACAAUUCUAGAACAAUUGUCUGGUGUGCCAGGGAAUUGGGAAACUGGGCCAUUUUUAAUGCUGUGGCUUUGAAAUUGGGAAAACAGUGGUUGGCUCCCCAGUUUUUGUAUUUCCCCAAUUCCCCAAAGCCUCUGCUUGGGAGAGAUCUCUUGGCAAAAUGAAAUGCCACAAUCCAAUUGAAAAAUGGUCCAAUAUAGGUUAUUAUUGCAGAGCCUAAUUCUGUGCAAGUUUCUAGUUUUGCAUGAGAGUCUCCCAAAGCAGAAGUAAUCCAUCUGCCACCAUCACUUGGGGAUGCAGUGGUUCCAACAGGAUGGGCUGGAGAGGUGCCUCCAUGAUCCAAGAGAGCAGAACCCGUGAGAAUUCCAGAGAAACCUGGAGUGGGGUUGGUGAGGCCAAAGCAAUGUCCUUUGCAAAUAGAAAGUUGUAAGGGAUUCUCACCCUUUGUAGAACAAUUGAUGAAAUUUUGCUUGUGAAAAGAAGGUGAAUCUAAAUGGAAUGCUCCAGUUUUGCCAGUCAAGCAGGCAAAUGGAAGGCUAUGCCAGUUAGUCCAAGACCUUAGAGCUGUAAAGAACAGAGUAGAAGAUAUACAAGCAGUCAUAGUGAAUCCUUACACUUUGCUAACUCCCCUAAAUGAGGGUUUAAUAUGUUUCACAGCAUUAGGUUUGAAAACUGCCUUUUUGUGUCUCCCUUUGAGUUGGGAAAGUCAAGAGCUUUUUGCUUUCCAAUGGGAAAAUGCAAAGCUGGGGAGGAAAACCCAUCUGACUUUGGUGGUCCUCUUGCAGGGGUUUAAAAAUAGCCCCCCAAUAUCUGGAACUCAAUUGGCAAAGGGACUGGAGGAAUGGAGAAGUCCAAACCCACCCUCUUGGAGCCUUAUUGCAGUGUGGGGAUGAUCUUUUGAUGCCACUGAUGCUGAGCAGCAACGUUGGGGUCAGACUGUGGCCCUGUGGAAUUUCCUUGGGCUGAGUGGAUAUGGGGUAUCCCAAACACAAAGUGCAAGUAGUCCAGAGCCCAGGAGCCUCCGUGGGCUUUGGAAUUCUCCAAGGACAAGGGAGGCUGGGCCAGGAAGGAAAGAAGCAACCUGUCAACUGCCCCAGCCCCAGCAAAGGAAGCCCAGAGCGGGAUUGCUUCCAGACUAGAGGAGAAGUGUAUUGGGGCAGAGCUGACUUAGGAGACAGCCCCUUGGAAAGUCCUGGUUGGGAAUUGUUUCCCAGUGGGGGCAGCUUUGUCCGGCAUGGAAAACAAUUCUCUGGAUGCACAGAACUCCCCACCACCAGGGCAGAGAUCCUGACAGAGAUCCUUCUCCCAGUAGAAGAAAAUGAGUCUAGUGCUAAGGAUUGUCAACUCCUUGAAACCUUAGAGCAAACUUUGCUCCAGGAGGCUGGGCAGUUCCCCCAAGUGGGCAAAUAAUAGUCCCUGAGCCAAUCUCCUGUGACCUGGUGGAUGGGGAACAUGAGGGGAUUCCUUGGAGUGAAGCAAAUUAUUGAAACAUUUGCCCAAGUGGGUUCUUGGUCCAAAACUGACCCCAGUUGUACAAGCAGUGAGUCAGCAGUGUGGUGUGUGGAAGAGAAAUAAUCCAAACCCUGCCACUGGAGUGGGAACAGGUGAUGGAAAAUGCAGAAAUGCUGCAGGUGAAUGUUGGCAGAUGGAUGUGACUGAAUUGCCCAGAAAAGUGGGGUGUAAAGAUCUCCUAGUCUUGGGGGAUACCUUCUCUGGGUGGCCAGAGGCUGUUCCUUGUUGCACUAAGCAGGUUGGGAAAGAGACUGCAAUCCUGUUCAGUGCAAUCCUCCCUGUAUUUGGGAUGCCUUUGGGAAUGUCAUCAGACAGAGGUUCCCACUUGACUGCAGAAACAAAAUGCUUCACUCUUGUUUUGCUCUUCUGACAACAGUUCAAACACUGUUGACGUGGGAGGAAAAUUUACAUGUCUUUUUAGUGCCAAAGGUGAUCCAAGUGUUGCCCACAAGUGUCUGUAUUAAGUAAGCAAGACUCUGUAAGGAAUCUGGAAACUGUGUGUGUAAUGUAAAGCCCUGUGUGGCUGUCACUGAAGUGCUGAGGCUGAACAACAGCCCCUGAGCCAAAGCUGAGCUCUAGAUGAACCUUCCAACCUAAUGGGCUGUGUCUCCAUGUAUCUGCUCCUGAGCUAAAACUGGGUCUAUUUGUUGGUACAAAUGUGGUGGGAUGGGACUCCACCUGUGUAUCUGCUCCUGAACCAAACAGGUGUGCUUCUUAGGAAGAUCUGUUAGUCUGGGCUCAUCAGUGAAUCCUGUUUGUAUCUGUUCCUUAACAAAAGAUGUCUGAUUGUGAGCAAAA